UGGGGAAUAUUGCACAAUGGAGGGAACUCUGAUGCAGCGACGCCGCGUGAGUGAUGAAGGACUUCGUUUCGUAAAACUCUGUUCUAUGGGAAGAAAAGGACUGUACCAUAGGAGAAAGCUCCGGCUAAAUACGUGCCAGCAGCCGCGGUAAUACGUAUGGAGCGAGCGUUGUCCGGAAUUAUUGGGCGUAAAGGGUGCGCAGGCGGCUUUACAAGUUGGAUGUGAAAUAUUGUGGCUCAACCACAAACGUGCAUCCAAAACUGCAAAGCUUGAGUUAAGAAGAGGUAAGUGGAAUUCCUGGUGUAGAGGUGGAAUGCGUAGAUAUCAGGAGGAAUACCGGUGGCGAAGGCGACUUACUGGACUUAAACUGACGCUCAGGCACUAAAGCGUGGGGAGCAAACAGG
RNAcentral lists this ribosomal RNA (404 nucleotides) under Fusobacteriota bacterium. Its description in RNAcentral is "Fusobacteria bacterium partial 16S ribosomal RNA". It matches the Rfam family "Bacterial small subunit ribosomal RNA", at positions 355 to 776 of the family's 1533-position model. Lineage: Bacteria; Fusobacteriati; Fusobacteriota. The record is from RNAcentral.